GACGAACGCUGGCGGCGUGCUUAACACAUGCAAGUCGAACGGUAAGGCCCUUCGGGGUACACGAGUGGCGAACGGGUGAGUAACACGUGGGUGAUCUGCCCUGCACUUCGGGAUAAGCCUGGGAAACUGGGUCUAAUACCGGAUAGGACCCUGGGAUGCAUGUCCUGGGGUGGAAAGCUUUUGCGGUGUGGGAUGGGCCCGCGGCCUAUCAGCUUGUUGGUGGGGUGAUGGCCUACCAAGGCGACGACGGGUAGCCGGCCUGAGAGGGGGACCGGCCACACUGGGACUGAGAUACGGCCCAGACUCCUACGGUGGGCAGCAGUGGGGAAUCUUGCGCAAUGGGCGAAAGCCUGACGCAGCAACGCAGCGUGCGGGAAGAAGGCUUUAGGGUUGUAAACCGCUUUCAGCAGGGAAGAAAAUGACGGUACCUGCAGAAGAAGGUGCGGCCAACUACGUGCCAGCCGCCGCCGUAA
RNAcentral lists this ribosomal RNA (473 nucleotides) under uncultured bacterium. Its description in RNAcentral is "partial 16S ribosomal RNA". It matches the Rfam family "Bacterial small subunit ribosomal RNA", at positions 28 to 523 of the family's 1533-position model. The record is from RNAcentral.